This 369-nucleotide ribosomal RNA is filed under the name Mimela holosericea. Its description in RNAcentral is "partial 16S ribosomal RNA". Lineage: Eukaryota; Metazoa; Arthropoda; Insecta; Coleoptera; Scarabaeidae. The record is from RNAcentral. RNAcentral also lists the same sequence under 1 other name.
ACCGUGCAAAGGUAGCAUAAUCAUUAGUUUUUUAAUUGAAAGCUGGUAUGAACGGUUGGACGAGAAAAUAACUGUCUCAAUUUAAAUGUAUGUAGAAUUUUAUUUAUAAGUAAAAAAGCUUAUAUAAUUUUAAAAGACGAGAAGACCCUAUAGAGUUUUAUAAUUUUUUAUAUUAAUUAGGUUUAGUAUGUUUAUAUUUUUGAUAUAAAAAAUUAUUUUGCUGGGGCAGCAGAAAAAUUUAUUAAACUUUUUUUAAUUGUUUAACAUUGAUUUAUGAGUUAAUGAUCCAUUUUUUAUGAUUACAAGAUUAAAUUACCUUAGGGAUAACAGCGUAAUUUUUUUUUAGAGUUCUUAUCGAAAAAAGAGUUU